UUUCAUCCUAUCUCUGCACUUCUUUUGUAUCGUAAGCGAUCAUAGUAGAACAGCACCCUGUGGAAUAGGGGUGUUACAGUUUUUCCCAAUU
Molecule: long non-coding RNA, 91 nt
Organism: Thalassophryne amazonica
Lineage: Eukaryota; Metazoa; Chordata; Actinopteri; Batrachoidiformes; Batrachoididae
Exons: 3
Source: RefSeq, a predicted model, not a curated record